GGGGAUAUAGCUCAAUGGCAGAGUGCUUGCCUAGCAUGCAUGAGGCACUGGGUUCGAUCCUCAGCACCA
This 69-nucleotide transfer RNA is filed under the name Ictidomys tridecemlineatus (thirteen-lined ground squirrel). RNAcentral's name for it is "Spermophilus tridecemlineatus (thirteen-lined ground squirrel) tRNA". It matches the Rfam family "tRNA". Rfam says of the family: Transfer RNA (tRNA) molecules are approximately 80 nucleotides in length. Their secondary structure includes four short double-helical elements and three loops (D, anti-codon, and T loops). Further hydrogen bonds mediate the characteristic L-shaped molecular structure. tRNAs have two regions of fundamental functional importance: the anti-codon, which is responsible for specific mRNA codon recognition, and the 3' end, to which the tRNAs corresponding amino acid is attached (by aminoacyl-tRNA synthetases). tRNAs cope with the degeneracy of the genetic code in two manners: having more than one tRNA (with a specific anti-codon) for a particular amino acid; and 'wobble' base-pairing, i.e. permitting non-standard base-pairing at the 3rd anti-codon position. The record is from Rfam by way of RNAcentral. Lineage: Eukaryota; Metazoa; Chordata; Mammalia; Rodentia; Sciuridae.